GAGCUUUAGGGGGAUGGUUGGCAAUACCCUGACAGGGACGGGAACAGUCUUUGGACUUGCCUGUUACCUCACAUCUGGUUAAAGAUAUAGCAUUAGUGAAACUGUGAAAGCUCUAGCUAGAACUCUCC
Molecule: small nuclear RNA, 128 nt
Organism: Rosa rugosa (rugosa rose)
Lineage: Eukaryota; Viridiplantae; Streptophyta; Magnoliopsida; Rosales; Rosaceae
Source: RefSeq, a predicted model, not a curated record